RNAcentral lists this long non-coding RNA (976 nucleotides) under Anas platyrhynchos platyrhynchos (common mallard). RNAcentral's name for it is "lncRNA (ENSAPLG00000024654.1)". The record is from RNAcentral. Lineage: Eukaryota; Metazoa; Chordata; Aves; Anseriformes; Anatidae.
GGAAGAGGAGGAAGAGGAGGCUGGAGGAAGAAGAGGAGGCUCCGGUCUCUACCCCACAACCAUGACGGCCUCCUCAAUCCAUGGGGAGGAGGAGGAGGAAGAGGAGGCUCCGGCCUCCACCUCGUGAGCACAACGGCCUCCUGUGUCCAUGAGGAUGAGGAUGAGGAGGAAGAGGAGGCUGGAGGAAGAAGAGGAGGCUCCGGCCUCCACCCCACGAGCCCAACAGCCUCGCGUGUCCACCCGGAGGAGGAAGAGGAGGAAGAGGAGGCCUCCGGCGGGGCCUAGAGGCUGACGCUGCGGUGGUGCCUGGAGAGGCCCCGUCCCCCCCGGCGGCCUCCCCCCGCCUGCCCCCCGGCCUCCCCGCUGUUGAGGCUGGCGGCGUCAGAGAGGCCGAGGAGGUGCUCCACCGAGUCGAAUUUCUGCAGGUCGGAGGCGAUGGUUUGGAGGCUGAGCACCGAGAGGGCGUCCGGCGGGGGUCCCUCGGCCCCCAGCAACCCCCCGGCGGCCUCCCCGGCCUCCCCAGUCUCCCCAGUUUCUUCCUCCUCCGCCCCGACUGGGGAGGCCCGGCGGAGGCCGAGGCGUUGGAGGCGGCGGGCGUGGAUCUGCUCGCUGAUCUGCUCCAGGUUGCGCAGGGCCACGGCGUAGCGGGUCUUGGCCCGCGCCACCCGGGCCUCCAGCGCCGUCACCGCCGCCUUGUGCUCCUGGGGAGGACAGGGAGAGGGAGGGAGAGGGAGGCCGGGGCGGUGGGGACCGCGGGGGGAGGUUUUCGGGGGGGUUUGGGGAGGAAGAGGAGGAGGAGGGGAGAUGGAGGAGGCCAUGAGGAAGAGGAGGAGGAGGAGGAGAGGAGGAGGAGGCCAAAGGGAGAAGGAGGAGGCUGAAAGGAAAAGGAGGCCAGCAAGGGGAGAUGGAGGAGGAGGCCAUGGGGAGGAGGAGGAGGAAGAGGAGGAGGAGAAGGAGGAGAGAAGGCCGAGGAGAG